UCUUUUGGGUUUUUUUUUACUCCACUUCCCUAAAAUAGUGACUCAUCGGCUCGUCUGUCAUUAUUGCUACAUGUUCCGCUGCCGAUCGUUUUGCAGUCACCGCUUCCACCGCCUUUGUCCAGGGAAGUAUUCCACUGAUAUGUAUUCUCCUACGUAGAUGUUCCUGUUUUCCAACAAUAGCUUCAUCUUCUAUGCUUUCUCCCAAAAUACCACCUACCUGACUAUUCGAUUGGACCUACACAAAGCGACCGCCUUUCUCUCCAUCUACCUCUACCAUCAACUGGUGCUUUCCCGUUUCCUUUGUCUUCACCGUGUUAUUAGGUUGGAUCCAUCGUCAAUCGGAAUCUAUUAGACACCGAACGCAGCGCCAUCGAUUCGAUUUUACAGUUGCAAACUCAAGAGGAAAUUGAAACACGAUGUUCACCAACGUAAUCGUUGCGUCUAACAUCGAAUGUACCCACCUAAUGAAUGCUUUCCACCAAUCUUCCACCGUCACCACCAAUCGAUCCCUUUACAAGCCAGGGUAACAUGAAAGACUCUUACAAUUUCUCCUGUGUUGUUGUGUGUUAACGAGAACGAAAAAAGGGGAACGCAGCCGUCGUCGGAGACUCUGGGAUGAAGAUGAACAGUUCGACGACGUUGCCAAAAACGGAUGCUUCGUCGCACGGAAUCUUUUACAUGAAGGCGAAUCCAAAAGAGGAAAAACCUCCUUAAUCAGAGAUGGCUAUGGCGGCUGCCUUCUGUAUACUGCUGCAUCUCUCCACGAUUGAUGUCUGGUGGUAUGAUUGCUCCGGUGAAGAUGUUUUGGGUUUUAGAGAUGUUCAAUGGUCAACUAUUUUAUACACGGCAGCUGCCAGAGGACAGAUUGAGGUUGAUUACAGCAAGAAGAGGCUUGCUAACGUGCUAGAAUAAGGAUGCAUUUCUCUAUAAAGCACUCACAACUUACGCAUCGACAUUAUUCUAUUGACUUUCGUAGGAAAGACUAUUGUCCAAUGUGUUCAGGAAUUUGAGAGAAAUGUUCAGGUUAUACAUUACACAAUAUAUGAUGUCAAUAUGUAAGGAUGAUGGAUUGAGAUUGCUCUCUUCUUUACGGAAAAGUGACAGCAUAUUAUAUCUCUCUCAUCGAGGUCAAAUGACAGAGGAUGAAUUCAUAUUGCACUUCUUUCAGUUCAAUGGUAAUUUCAUAACGUAUAUUUUUUAUGUUUACAUUUCUUUUUGAAGGAAUUGGAAUAUACAUAAAUCAAAAUCACACAUUUUUUUGGCAGAAAUGGGAUAUAAUUUAAUUCGAUUCCAUUCCUGUCCUAUUUCAUAUAAGUAAAUGAUUAAUAGGAAAAUUACUCUUUACCUACUUCGGUUGGGGUAUGGGACUUUUGUUGCUUCUCCAAUUACAGGCCAAUCUUCACCCAUUCCCAUCUCGUGUACACAUCAUUCCAGUAAUGAAGUCAGUGAAGCGGAUGCAAGUUCAUACACAUUUCCAGAGUAUAGUGACUUCAGCGGCUGGUGUCAAAGUCGGAUGAAAGAGGGUGCAAUGGGAGUGAAUUCUAUUUUGAUAUACAGGAAUUCAUGCAUUUCACCAACAAUAAUCGUCAUUCUGAUGUACAAAAACCCCAUUUCAAUAUCAUGAUGAGAUUGAGGCACCAGAUUUUCCAUUUUGUAUCAACAUUGCAGCAAUAUGUUCAGUCUCAGUUAUCACAUGUAUCCUGGUGUAGAUUUCUACAUUCUCUUAAGCAUAAGGUUAAGGAUUUAACAGAUCUUGACAUUGUCCAUAUGGAUAAUCUCAAUGAUUCACAACGCAUCUGAGAUUAUUCAAAUCAUUUUGCAAUGUGCAUUGGACUUCAGAUCUUUUGUUGUGCCAAACAAAUCAGCUGUCAACAUUGCUCAGGUCAUUUUUUACUGUCUUCAUUUAUUAAUUAUUUUCUAUUUUUGUAUUAUUAGUGAUUAAAUAGGUGGGUGGGCUGAUCUUGGUAUUGAUGCUGGGAAAUAUGCACAUGAACUUAUGUCAAAUUCAGUAAGUACAAUGCAAGAUGAACCUAAAGGGUUUGUUGAUCCUGCUAAGGUUUUGGAGAAAACUUACACAAUCACUAAAGCUAAAGGAUUCUCAACUGCUUGCAUUAUUAAACUCUCAAAUCAGGGUCUUGAGGCUAUCAACUUGGCUUGAAAAUCUAACAUUUUCACUUCUUCUUAAAAUGGUGAACAUGGUAUGGUGGGUGGAAUUAUAACAACUAGGAUGGAUUAUGAAUUACCAUGGCAUGAAAAAAAGCUGAAACCUAAAAAGCCUAGGAUAAGGGCGAUGGACGCACAUACAGAAAAAGAGAGGCUUGCCAUUUCGGAUGUUGGCUGAACAUGAAAGAGCCUUCUACCAUUAAACCAAUUUUUUACAUCUCCAUGAUUUUAGUUUUUAUUUAUAUAUUCAUCUCUUUUGGUGAUUGGUGCAACUAUGCUACAUAUUUAACCAUUAGUCACACUCCAACAAACUUCUUUCAAAGAAAAACGACCCUUAUAUGUAUAUGUGAUCAGGGUUGGUCUACAAAUGAAUUUAAAUUAAAUGCAAAAAAAUUAUAUUUUAUGCA
Molecule: non-coding RNA, 2570 nt
Organism: Lactuca sativa (garden lettuce)
Lineage: Eukaryota; Viridiplantae; Streptophyta; Magnoliopsida; Asterales; Asteraceae
Source: RefSeq, a predicted model, not a curated record